GGGCCAGUAGCUCAGUUGGCUAGAGCGCCUCAUUUGCACUGAGGAGGUCGGGGGUUCGAUUCCUCUCUGGUCCA
RNAcentral lists this transfer RNA (74 nucleotides) under Candidatus Campbellbacteria bacterium RIFOXYC2_FULL_35_25. RNAcentral's name for it is "tRNA-Ala". It matches the Rfam family "tRNA". From Rfam's summary of the family: Transfer RNA (tRNA) molecules are approximately 80 nucleotides in length. The record is from RNAcentral. RNAcentral also lists the same sequence under 1 other name. Lineage: Bacteria; Candidatus Campbelliibacteriota.